GAGUUUGAUCAUGGCUCAGGAUGAACGCUAGCGGGAGGCCUAACACAUGCAAGCCGAGCGGUAGAGAUUCUUCGGAAUCUUGAGAGCGGCGUACGGGUGCGGAACACGUGUGCAACCUGCCUUUAUCUGGGGGAUAGCCUUUCGAAAGGGAGAUUAAUACCCCAUAAUAUAUUUAUCGGCAUCGAUAGAUAUUGAAAACUCCGGUGGAUAGAGAUGGGCACGCGCAAGAUUAGAUAGUUGGUGAGGUAACGGCUCACCAAGUCUACGAUCUUUAGGGGGCCUGAGAGGGUGAUCCCCCACACUGGUACUGAGACACGGACCAGACUCCUACGGGAGGCAGCAGUGAGGAAUAUUGGACAAUGGGUGAGAGCCUGAUCCAGCCAUCCCGCGUGAAGGACGACGGCCCUAUGGGUUGUAAACUUCUUUUGUAUAGGGAUAAACCUACUCUCGUGAGAGUAGCUGAAGGUACUAUACGAAUAAGCACCGGCUAACUCCGUGCCAGCAGCCGCGGUAAUACGGAGGGUGCAAGCGUUAUCCGGAUUUAUUGGGUUUAAAGGGUCCGUAGGCGGAUCUGUAAGUCAGUGGUGAAAUCUCACAGCUUAACUGUGAAACUGCCAUUGAUACUGCAGGUCUUGAGUGUUAUUGAAGUAGCUGGAAUAAGUAGUGUAGCGGUGAAAUGCAUAGAUAUUACUUAGAACACCAAUUGCGAAGGCAGGUUACUAAGCAACAACUGACGCUGAUGGACGAAAGC
RNAcentral lists this ribosomal RNA (751 nucleotides) under Chryseobacterium ginsengisoli. RNAcentral describes it as "bacterial SSU rRNA". It matches the Rfam family "Bacterial small subunit ribosomal RNA", at positions 9 to 760 of the family's 1533-position model. Lineage: Bacteria; Pseudomonadati; Bacteroidota; Flavobacteriia; Flavobacteriales; Weeksellaceae. The record is from RNAcentral.